UACUAUUAUCCAUGUGUUAAGAAAUAAUAUUUAUUAUAGAAUAAAUAUUUGCUCAAUUUUAAUAGAUCAUAUAUUCGUUUAUGGUGUCUGUUUACUUAUAUAGUAGAUGAUUUAGUGUGUAGAGUUUUAGCUUAUACACAAAGGAUUAAAUCAUCGGUUCUUAUAAGUAUAAAGUUUUUUGUUCACAAUCUAGGAUGGAAAUUGGACAUGCCAUCGGUACGAUUGUAGCACAAGAUUAUAUGUAAUUUAUCUUGAUUAUGGGAACGGUAUAGUUCCAACUUCUUGUGCUAGUGCAUUUUGUA
This 302-nucleotide long non-coding RNA is filed under the name Solanum tuberosum (potato). RNAcentral describes it as "long non-coding RNA (STUB_LNC003557)". The record is from RNAcentral. Lineage: Eukaryota; Viridiplantae; Streptophyta; Magnoliopsida; Solanales; Solanaceae.